Molecule: ribosomal RNA, 453 nt
Filed under: uncultured bacterium
Lineage: Bacteria
Description: bacterial SSU rRNA
Rfam family: Bacterial small subunit ribosomal RNA
Source: RNAcentral
CAAGUAGACAGGUGGUGCAUGGUUGUCGUCAGCUCGUGUCGUGAGAUGUUGGGUUAAGUCCCGCAACGAGCGCAACCCCUAUUGUCAGUUGCCAGCAUUCAGUUGGGCACUCUGGCGAGACUGCCGUUGACAAAACGGAGGAAGGUGGGGACGACGUCAAAUCAUCAUGCCCCUUAUGUCCUGGGCUACACACGUACUACAAUGGCAACAACAGAGGGCAGCCAAACCGCGAGGUUGAGCGAAUCCCAAAAUGUUGUCUCAGUUCAGAUUGCAGGCUGCAACUCGCCUGCGUGAAGUCGGAAUUGCUAGUAAUGGCAGGUCAGCAUACUGCCGUGAAUACGUUCCCGGGCCUUGUACACACCGCCCGUCACACCAUGAGAGUCUGUAACACCCGAAGUCGGUAGUCUAACCGCAAGGAGGACGCUGCCGAAGGUGGGACAGAUGAUUGGGGUG